RNAcentral lists this non-coding RNA (45 nucleotides) under Trichobilharzia regenti. The record is from RNAcentral. Lineage: Eukaryota; Metazoa; Platyhelminthes; Trematoda; Strigeidida; Schistosomatidae.
AUCCAGAUGACGAGUUUAAAAUAGGAGGAAAUGCGCAUUGUGGAU